This 261-nucleotide ribosomal RNA is filed under the name uncultured prokaryote. Its description in RNAcentral is "partial 16S ribosomal RNA". It matches the Rfam family "Bacterial small subunit ribosomal RNA", at positions 524 to 784 of the family's 1533-position model. The record is from RNAcentral.
UACGGAGGAUCCAAGCGUUAUCCGGAUUUAUUGGGUUUAAAGGGUGCGCAGGCGGAAGAUUAAGUCGGCGGUGAAAUUUUGCAGCUCAACUGUAAAAGUGCCAUCGAUACUGGUUUUCUUGAGUGUGGAUGAAGUAGGCGGAAUUUGUGGUGUAGCGGUGAAAUGCAUAGAUAUCACGAGGAACUCCGAUUGCGCAGGCAGCUUACUAAACUACUACUGACGCUCAGGCACGAAGGCGUGGGGAUCGAACAGGAUUAGAUA